CCUACGGGGGAAAAAUUUAUUGCUAUUAGAUGAGCCUAUAUUAGAUUAGCUAGUUGGUGGAGUAAUAGCCUACCAAGGCAAUGAUCUAUAGCUGAUCUGAGAGGAUGAUCAGCCACACUGGAACUGAGAUACGGUCCAGACUCCUACGGGAGGCAGCAGUGGGGAAUAUUGGACAAUGGGCGAAAGCCUGAUCCAGCCAUGCCGCAUGAGUGAAGAAGGCCUUUGGGUUGUAAAGCUCUUUUAGUGAGGAAGAUAAUGACGGUACUCACAGAAGAAGUCCUGGCUAACUCCGUGCCAGCAGCCGCGGUAAUACGGAGAGGGCUAGCGUUAUUCGGAAUUAUUGGGCGUAAAGGGCGCGUAGGCGGAUUAGUAAGUUAAAAGUGAAAUCCCAAGGCUCAACCUUGGAAUUGCUUUUAAAACUGCUAAUCUAGAGAUUGAAAGAGGAUAGAGGAAUUCCUAGUGUAGAGGUGAAAUUCGUAAAUAUUAGGAGGAACACCAGUGGCGAAGGCGUCUAUCUGGUUUAAAUCUGACGCUGAGGCGCGAAGGCGUGGGGAGCAAACAGGAUUAGAUACCCUGGUAGUCCACGCUGUAAACGAUGAAUGUUAAAUAUGGGAAGUUUUACUUUCUGUAUUACAGCUAACGCGUUAAACAUUCCGCCUGGGGACUACGGUCGCAAGAUUAAAACUCAAAGGAAUUGACGGGGACCCGCACAAGCGGUGGAGCAUGUGGUUUAAUUCGAUGCAACGCGAAAAACCUUACCACUCCUUGACAUGGAAAUUAUACCUAUUCGAAGGGAUAGG
This 800-nucleotide ribosomal RNA is filed under the name uncultured bacterium. Its description in RNAcentral is "bacterial SSU rRNA". It matches the Rfam family "Bacterial small subunit ribosomal RNA", at positions 193 to 1013 of the family's 1533-position model. The record is from RNAcentral.